Molecule: ribosomal RNA, 465 nt
Filed under: uncultured bacterium
Lineage: Bacteria
Description: partial 16S ribosomal RNA
Rfam family: Bacterial small subunit ribosomal RNA
Source: RNAcentral
CCUACGGGAGACAGCAGUGGGGAAUAUUGCGCAAUGGGCGAAAGCCUGACGCAGCGACGCCGUGUGAGGGAUGAAGGUCUUCGGAUCGUAAACCUCUGUCAGCAGGGAAGAACGGUCACUGUGCUAAUCAGCAGUGAAUUGACGGUACCUGCAAAGGAAGCACCGGCUAACUCCGUGCCAGCAGCCGCGGUAAUACGGAGGGUGCGAGCGUUAAUCGGAAUUACUGGGCGUAAAGCGCUCGUAGGCGGUAUGUCAAGUCAAGGGUGAAAUCCCCGCGCUCAACGUGGGAACUGCCUUUAAAACUGGCAAACUGGAGAGUGUGAGAGGAUAGUGGAAUGCCAGGUGUAGGAGUGAAAGCCGUAGAGAUCUGGAGGAACAUCAGUGGCGAAGGCGACUAUCUGGCACAUAACUGACGCUGAGGAGCGAAAGCGUGGGUAGCAAACAGGAUUAGAUACCCGAGUAGUC